UUUAUACAACGAAGAGUUUGAUCCUGGCUCAGGAUGAACGCUAGCGACAGGCCUAACACAUGCAAGUCGAGGGGUAACG
Molecule: ribosomal RNA, 79 nt
Filed under: Marinifilum caeruleilacunae
Lineage: Bacteria; Pseudomonadati; Bacteroidota; Bacteroidia; Marinilabiliales; Marinifilaceae
Description: Marinifilum sp. JC070 partial 16S ribosomal RNA
Rfam family: Bacterial small subunit ribosomal RNA
Source: RNAcentral